This 600-nucleotide ribosomal RNA is filed under the name uncultured bacterium. RNAcentral describes it as "bacterial SSU rRNA". The stretch from base 1 to 455 matches the Rfam family "Bacterial small subunit ribosomal RNA", at positions 92 to 546 of the family's 1533-position model. The record is from RNAcentral.
GUUGAGGCGGACGGGUGAGUAACGCGUAGUGGAUCUGUCUAUGGGUCUGGGACAACUCGGGGAAACUCGAGCUAAUACCUGGAUAAGUUCUAAGGAAGAAAGUGGGGUAGCAAUAUCUCAUGCCGAUAGGUGAACCUGCGUUGGAUUAGCUAGUUGGUGGGGUAAAGGCCUACCAAGGCGACGAUCCAUAGCUGUUCUGAGAGGAAGAUCAGCACACUGGGACUGAGACACGGCCAGACUCCUACGGGAGGCAGCAGUGGGGAAUAUUGGACAAUGGGCGCAAGCCUGAUCCAGCAAUACCGCGUGUGUGAAGAAGGCCUGAGGGUUGUAAAGCACUUUCGACGAGGAGGAAGGUUAUAGGUGCUAAUACCAAUAUAAUUUGACGUUACUCGUAAAAAGCACGGCUAACUCUGUGCCAGCAGCCGCGGUAAUUACAGAGGGUGCAAGCGUUAAUCCGGACAUUUACUGGGCCGUAAACGAGUGCGUAGGCGGGAUUCACUCAAAGUCCAUCAUUGUGGAAAGCCCCGGGGCUUAAACCCUUGGGGAAAUUUGCUUCCUCGGAUCACUGGGUUAACUCUCAAAACGAAUGGGGGCACAGCA